Molecule: transfer RNA, 77 nt
Filed under: Hyphomicrobiaceae bacterium
Lineage: Bacteria; Pseudomonadati; Pseudomonadota; Alphaproteobacteria; Hyphomicrobiales; Hyphomicrobiaceae
Description: tRNA-Arg
Rfam family: tRNA
About the family: Transfer RNA (tRNA) molecules are approximately 80 nucleotides in length.
Source: RNAcentral
GGUCCCGUAGCUCAGCUGGAUAGAGCGGCAGAUUCCUAAUCUGUAGGCCAUGGGUUCAAAUCCCGUCGGGAUCACCA